Molecule: long non-coding RNA, 490 nt
Organism: Neoarius graeffei (lesser salmon catfish)
Lineage: Eukaryota; Metazoa; Chordata; Actinopteri; Siluriformes; Ariidae
Exons: 3
Source: RefSeq, a predicted model, not a curated record
UUGUGUUUACAGAUUUUUACAGAGCCUGAAUAUGUACAAUAACGUGAUCUCAGUGAGGUGAUUAUUCCCUUGCCCAUGGCUCACCAAUUGACAUUGGAGCAGUAUUGCAAAAAAAUGUUUUAUGGCCCGUCACACUGCUCCUAUAUGUAGUACAAUUUACAGCAUCCAUGGACACCACAUCAGUGAAUAACCAUUAGCAGGUGAGGCUUCGCCUCCGAUUGAGAGGAAUGAGUCAACAUCACCAAAGAGACGCAAACCAGUGUCAGAUCAUGAGAUAACUUCAAGUGCCAGCACUGUGAGGCCUUCCUCCAAGGGUAAAGAAGCAUAUCAAGGCAGAGCUACCCAGAAGAAAAUGCCCUGGCAGCAGAAAGAGGUACAGGCGGUAGAAAGGCAUAUGAAGCGCUUCAUCACAUCUUGCAUUGUACCAGCAAAGAGCGACUGUAUGAAGUGUUUGAAUGCUGAGCCAGAAGCUCUUAAGAACCGAGAGUGG